UACACUCCUACGGGAGGCAGCAGUGGGGAAUUUUGGACAAUGGGCGAAAGCCUGAUCCAGCAAUGCCGCGUGUGUGAAGAAGGCCUUCGGGUUGUAAAGCACUUUUGUCCGGAAAGAAAUCCUUGGCUCUAAUACAGUCGGGGGAUGACGGUACCGGAAGAAUAAGCACCGGCUAACUACGUGCCAGCAGCCGCGGUAAUACGUAGGGUGCGAGCGUUAAUCGGAAUUACUGGGCGUAAAGCGUGCGCAGGCGGUUUGCUAAGACCGAUGUGAAAUCCCCGGGCUCAACCUGGGAACUGCAUUGGUGACUGGCAGGCUAGAGUAUGGCAGAGGGGGGUAGAAUUCCACGUGUAGCAGUGAAAUGCGUAGAGAUGUGGAGGAAUACCGAUGGCGAAGGCAGCCCCCUGGGCCAAUACUGACGCUCAUGCACGAAAGCGUGGGGAGCAAACAGGAUUAGAAACCCCUGUAGUCCCAUGA
RNAcentral lists this ribosomal RNA (477 nucleotides) under uncultured organism. RNAcentral describes it as "partial 16S ribosomal RNA". It matches the Rfam family "Bacterial small subunit ribosomal RNA", at positions 332 to 800 of the family's 1533-position model. The record is from RNAcentral.